RNAcentral lists this ribosomal RNA (433 nucleotides) under uncultured bacterium. Its description in RNAcentral is "partial 16S ribosomal RNA". It matches the Rfam family "Bacterial small subunit ribosomal RNA", at positions 29 to 507 of the family's 1533-position model. The record is from RNAcentral.
AGCGAACGCUGGCGGCAGGCCUAACACAUGCAAGUCGAACGAACUCUUCGGAGUUAGUGGCGGACGGGUGAGUAACACGUGGGAACGUGCCUUUUGGUUCGGAAUAACUCAGGGAAACUUGUGCUAAUACCGAAUGUGCCCUUCGGGGGAAAGAUUUAUCGCCAUUAGAGCGGCCCGCGUCUGAUUAGCUAGUUGGUGAGGUAACGGCUCACCAAGGCGACGAUCAGUAGCUAGUCUGAGAGGAUGACCAGCCACACUGGGACUGAGACACGGCCCAGACUCCUACGGGAGGCAGCAGUGGGGAAUCUUGCGCAAUGGGCGAAAGCCUGACGCAGCCAUGCCGCGUGAAUGAUGAAGGUCUUAGGAUUGUAAAAUUCUUUCACCGGGGACGAUAAUGACGGUACCCGGAGAAGAAGCCCCGGCUAACUUCGUG